AGAAAGAUACAGUACUAGUGUUAGAAACUAGACCGUCUAAGAAAUUUUGAAAUUGAAACGAAAGAAACGUAACCAAACCCUAAUGCUCUCCACCCUCAACGCCACCGCAUCGCAACGCCAUAGCCGUCUCUGAAGCAGUGUUCCUCUGUCAACGUUAUAGAUCUCUCAACUCAGCACCGCCACAACCCUUUCAACUCAGUCGCUUUCGUCUCUCCGACCCUGUGAAUCCAAUCGGUAGGAGGAAGAUUUUAAGCACUUAUUCCAGAAAAACAAGGUUGUUGAUAUGGAAGAAAUUUGUAUACCUAGUGGGCGACCUAAAGGAUCUAUAUAUCGAAGACAAUUAAAUCUACGUUUGAUGGACCUCGCAACAAUUGGAAAUGUUGUUACGAUAAAAUAAAAAAAAUGUGGUUUAAUGAGUAUCCGGUAAUGUGUGUUGUUUAUUUUCUAUCAUUUCAUAUAAUGUUAUAACUUCAAAUUAUGCAGAAACUAUUAAUGAACAGAAGUACUAAUACCAUGGUAAUAUCUUUUAUAUUAUUUUAGUAUUUUUUUAUGCUCCUGCAGAAUCGUCGCAUUUCUUUCCUCACUGCUCAGCCAAUCUCUACCAUUGUUUGUACAUCACUUUAUUUAUUUAUUUAUUUUUGUUUUCAUCACUCUAUAAAACUUUUAGAGAGAUAGAGAUAGAGAGAGAGCGAGGGAGGGAGGCAGGAGGGAGGGAGGUAUUGAACAUGCUACAUCGGGGAUUGGUAAAUUGGGGAAUUCUGCUACAAAUGUAGAUUUUUUUUUUGGUGAAAACACUCCAAAAAAAGAAGUAUUUAUAAACAUUCACCUUAUAACGCCAGUUUUGUUUUUGCAAGAUUGUGUUAAGUCCAAUCCAAAUUCUAAGAUGAUAUUAGAGUAUCGAGUCAUGCUCUAGAUGUCCUGCCCAUGGUGUAAGGGAUGUCAUAACACUCCCACAUUGAAUGUGAAUGGUUUAAAAUGUUUAUAAGUGGGAGGCACCUUCCACCUUACUAGCCCGUUUUGUACGGUUGGGUUAGGGGCUCAAAACUCACAAGGCAUAACUGAAUGCAGGGACAGGGAGCAGUAAAGUAUAAGUAGUGGAAUUUUGUAAUGAAGGGAUGGGUGAAUGUGAGAGGAGAGAUAUCAUUUACUUUCUUCCUUUUGCAAGAGAUUCAUCUUCAUCCAUUGUAAAUUACUUUACUGUUUUAUUCAUCUUGAUAGACUCAUCCCCCUGAGUUUGUCAUUAAUUCUAUUUCCGUCAGUUUCAGUUUAUCAUAGUGUUUGUUCCUAUCAAAAUACAGCUGUACGCAGAUUUGAAAUAAUGGCAAGUGAACAAAAAAAUGCAUAAAAAAUACAACACCCGCAUUAAAACAGUAAAACUAAGUUUGGUCCAAAUACAUUAGACUUUUUGCUUAUAUUUAAAUAGGAGGAAAUACUCGAGUAAAAGGGGAGAAAUAUGUAGGCUGGUCUUAUAUGUUGUGGCAGUCAAUUUUGUACAAAUACAAUGAUCUUGAUUGAAAGUCUUCUUACAUUGCUAUACUUUUAAUAGGAAAAAGAAUUGCUGUCUUCUGGAAUGCCUGAACAAGUACAAUCAGGCAUGUAACCGCUUGUGAAUAAUGCAGCUGCUGCUAAUAUGCCUUUGUCCCAAUAGACGGCUUCUUCACAAUAAAAAUAUAUAAGGGUCUGGGAGUUCAAUAAAAUGGGAGGAUGAUGAUACUGUGCCCCAACGAGAUCUAAACUUGGAUAAAUUGAAUUGACGGCAAAAAGUAGAUGUAUUGUGUCUCGAUGACCCUAUUGAAUUUACGGUAUCAGAGGCUGGAAAUAAUGACUUUUUGAUCCACAAUCUUUAAAUAUGGAGCUCAUUACAAGGAUGAUGGUACUGUGGCCAAACGAGAUCUAAACUUCGAUAAAUUGAAUUGACGGCAAAAAAUAGAUAGAUUGUAUUGUGUCUUGAUGACCCUAUUGAAUUAACGGUAUCCGUGGUUGAAAUGAUGACUUUUUGGUCGGUUGAUCUUUAAAUAUGGAGCUCAUUCAAGGUAUGCUACUAUGCAUUUUAACUAUUCUUAGUUUGAGUCUUUUAUGACUACUACAUGCUAUGCUACUGUGUUUGCCUUUCAUCAACAAAAAUUCUUUGUUUUGAUAGUAUCCUAGAGUUUUCAAAAACAUAUUCAUAACAAAAUGCAUGUUAUGACGACCCUUAAUUGAAUGAGAAUAAAAAAGUACAUCGUUUUAAAUUCAAUACAAUAGGAUGUCCCUGAUGGAUAAUAUGAUAUAUAAACCUAUAGGAUGAUGGUAAUGUGCCCCAAUGAGAUCUAAACUUAGAUAAAUUGAAGGUAAAAAAUAGAUGGAUUUUAUUGUGUCCAGAUGACCUUAUUGAAUUGACGGUAUCCGUGGUUGAAAUGAUGGAUUCAUAACAUAAUGCUUGUUAUGACGACCCUUAAUUGAAUGAGAAUAGAAAACCUACAUGGUUUUAAAUUCAAUACAAUAGAUGUCCAUCUAAGAUAAAUUGAAUUGAUGGUAAAAAAUAGAUGGAUUAUAUUGUGUUUCGAUGAUCCUAUUGAAUUGACGGUAUCGAUGGUUGAAAUGAUGGCUUUUUGGUCGGUUGGUCUUUAAAUAUGGAGCUCAUUCAAGGUAUGCUAUUAUGCAUUUUAACUAUUCUUAGUUUGAGUCUUUUAUGACUACUACAUGGUAUACUAUGUUUGCCUUUGGUUAACAAAAAUUCUUUGUUUUGAUCGGAUCCUACAGUUUUCAAAAACAUAUUCAUAACAAAAUUCAUGUUAUGACGACCCUUAAUCGAAUGAGAAUAAAAAAGUACAUGGUUUUAAAUAAUACAAUAGGAUGUCCCUGAUGGAUAAUAUGAUAUUUAAACCUAUAGGAUGAUGGUAAUGUGCCCCAACGAGAUCUAAACUUAGAUAAAUUGAAUUGACGGUAAAAAAUAGAUGGAUUGUAUUGUUUCUAGAUGACCCUAUUAAAUCGACGGUAUCAGUGGCUGAAAUGAUGGAUUCAUAACAUUAUACUUGUUAUGACGACCGUUAAUUGAAUGAGAAUAGAAAACAUACAUGGUUUUAAAUGCAAUAAAAUAGGAUGUCCCUGGUGGAUAAUAUGAUAUUUUAACCUAUACGGUUCAAUUAAACCGGAGAUGAUAGUACUGUGCCCCAACAACAUCUAUACUUCGAUAAAUUGAAUUGACGGUAAAACAUAGAUGGAUUGUAUUGUGUCUGGAUUACACUCUUGAAUUGACGGUAUCAGUGGUUGAAAUGAUGGAUUCAUAACAUAAUGCUUGUUAUGACGACCCUUAAUUGAAUGAGAAUAGAAAACCUAAAUGAUUUUAAAUUCAAUACAACAGGAUGUCGUUGAUGGAUAAUAUGAUAUUUGAACUUAUACGGUUCAAUAAAAUGUGAGAUGAUGGUAUUAUGCCUAAUGAAAUCUAAACUUCGAUAAAUUGAAUUGAGGGUAAAAAAUAGAUGGAUUGUAUUGUGUCUUGAUGUCUUAUAAGGACCUAAAAAGCAUUGGGGCUCAAAAAUUAUUGGUCCAACAAUUCAAGAAAGGCGUUAUAGGAAACAAUAACAAACAAUUUUAGCCUGUUUAGACAGAAGAAUAAACAACUUGUGGAGAAAUUUUAGGGGAAAAAGGAUUCAAAUCAUCAAAUAAAUGGGUGUGUGUUGCUAUUUUAUUUUAUGUAGUGUGUAUGAGACACCUAGCAUUAAGAGGUCUGCACUUCUUCUUUUGUGAUGAGUGUGCGAUAAAGAUAUGAAAUUGGAAAUCCUGAGGUCAACAUCUGAUCUGAUGGUUGUGUGUUGCUUUUAUUGGUGUUUGUUGUAUGCUAAUCUCUCUACAUCCUAUGCAAGGUGCUAGCUCUUUCUCUUGUGCAGUUUCCAAAAUAAAUAAAAAAAAAACAUUUAACCAUCAAUUAACGGUGUUAUGUUUAUAAAGGAGGUUUUUAUAUAUUUUAAAAGACCUUAGGGGAGGUUAGUGUUUAAUCUAAAAUUAGAGGGGGUGUUUGUGUCUUUUAAAGAAACUUCGGGGGAGGUUAGUGUAUUUUUCCCUAAUUAUUAAAUCACUUAGGUAAUAUUUCUUUAUCAUGCAUUGGUUUAUAAAAACAAUUUAAUUACUCAUUUAUAAAUAUAUUUUGUAGUAGGAUUAUACAUGAUUAUGAUUCAUUACUGUGUUCACAUCACCAACACAACCUAUAUAGAGU
Long non-coding RNA from Trifolium pratense (red clover), 4195 nucleotides. RefSeq lists it as uncharacterized. The record is from RefSeq and is a predicted model, not a curated record. NCBI's taxonomy places the organism in Eukaryota, Viridiplantae, Streptophyta, Magnoliopsida, Fabales, Fabaceae. The transcript has 5 exons.